UGCGGUAGCGGAGGGCCCUUCUCUCAGGACACGGAAUAAACCUGUUUCUCCUUUGCCCGGACAGAACUGGGGUGGACGGAGUCCGUACCCUAUCUUGACAGGCCUCCGUCCCCGCUGGAGUUUUAUCGAGAAUGGGUGAGUCCGAACAAACCUUGUAUAAUUCAGAAUGCCAUCACCCACUGGCCGGCUCUGAAGAAAUGGACUUCAGCGUACCUCAGGGAGGUAGUGGGUCCCAAGGUAGUGAGUGUGGCAGUAACACCAAAUGGUUAUGCAGAUGCGGUGUUUCAGGACCGUUUUGUCAUGCCAGAGGAGCGCCAAAUGGCUUUCAUGGACUUUUUGGACAUUGUGGAGAAGAAAGUGACCUCUCCCAACGUAUUCUAUGUGCAGAAGCAGUGUUCAAACCUCACUGAGGAGUUCCCUGAACUUGUCUGUGAUGUGCAGCCUGACAUACCAUGGAUGAGUGAGGCACUCGGGAAGAAGCCUGAUGCUGUGAAUUUCUGGCUUGGGGAGGCAGCUGCUGUGACAUCCUUACAUAAAGAUCAUUAUGAGAACUUGUACUGUGUGAUAUCAGGAGAGAAACAUUUCCUACUGCAUCCACCGAGUGACCGUCCCUUCAUCCCAUAUGAGCUCUAUCAGCCAGCAACCUACCAGGUAUCAGAAGAUGGCUCAUUUAAAAUUGUGGAUGAGAAGAGUGCUGAUAAGGUGCCCUGGAUCCCCCUGGACCCCUUGAACCCAGAUCUGGAACAGUAUCCAGAGUAUGCUCAGGCAAAACCUUUGCAGUGUACAGUGAGAGCUGGUGAGAUGUUAUACCUGCCUUCUCUCUGGUUCCACCAUGUUCAGCAAUCACAUGGCUGUAUAGCAGUGAAUUAUUGGUAUGACAUGGAAUAUGACCUUAAGUACAGCUAUUACCAACUCCUAGAUUGUCUCACAAAGGCCAUGAAAGUGUUAUAGCAGAGGUGGAAGACUCAAGCUUGUGAUCCCUCUCUCUGACAGGAUACAGUCAUCAGCAUCUGUGACUGGAGUACAAACAUGAUGCAAGUGAAAAGAACUGAACGUUAAAUUAUCCUCAACAAUGUGUGUCAACAGAUCGUGGCUAUUUUGCUUGAUUUUGGAGUCUAGAUCAAUCAGCCAGAUUUUUUGGCUUGUAAUCAGAAGGUUCGAUAAUAGCAUUUUUAGGUCUUUGCAUGUUGUUUCGGUGACGAUGAGCAAAAUAAAAUUGGAAGAGAGGCCAUCCAGGUUUUGGAAAUCCCAAAACAGAAGCCACGAUUGUUCAGAUCUACAGAUUGUUUUCAUAACAAUCCAAGCGGUCAAGGAAGAAUCUGCUGUGCCACCCAGCUGUGCAUCAGGCUGUGUCAGUCCGACACCUGCAUUCUGCUUCAGGCAGAAGUCCUGUCCGGGUGUAAUUCACUAAGUUCAGUGGCUGUGGUGUUUAAUGGUGAGAAAUUACAACUUCUGCAAUAAAUGGGUUGCUUUGACAGAUCCACGGUCAAUCUGCAAAUCACCUGUGGUCUCGUGGCAUGAUGGGUGAUUAUACAGCUUGCAGGC
RNA transcript from Athene cunicularia (burrowing owl), 1545 nucleotides. It is a transcript of the gene named jumonji domain containing 7, with no coding region annotated. The record is from RefSeq and is a predicted model, not a curated record. NCBI's taxonomy places the organism in Eukaryota, Metazoa, Chordata, Aves, Strigiformes, Strigidae. The transcript has 8 exons.